Molecule: long non-coding RNA, 258 nt
Filed under: Lathyrus oleraceus (garden pea)
Lineage: Eukaryota; Viridiplantae; Streptophyta; Magnoliopsida; Fabales; Fabaceae
Description: Pisum sativum (pea) long non-coding RNA (PSAT_LNC005264)
Source: RNAcentral
ACAAAUGGAGUUAAUUGCUCCCCACGACAAGCACACACCAAGAUACACAAGAUAGAAAAAGUAGGGGAACCCAUAGAACUACACCAGAUUAAAAAAAACCUAUUAUUCCGAGCAGAAGGGGGAGGUCUACUCUCAUGAGGAGCAAGGUCCACUUAGUUUCCUAAAUGUCUAAAAAAUCUAAGGAUUAAUAAACAAUAAGCUUUGUCACUUUCUAUUUUUUAAUCCUACUACCCAAUUCACAAACAUCGAAGAAACCAA